Molecule: small nucleolar RNA, 80 nt
Filed under: Olea europaea subsp. europaea
Lineage: Eukaryota; Viridiplantae; Streptophyta; Magnoliopsida; Lamiales; Oleaceae
Description: Small nucleolar RNA Z199
Rfam family: Small nucleolar RNA Z199
About the family: snoZ199 is a C/D box small nucleolar RNA, which acts as a methylation guide RNA for sites on 18S and 25S rRNA. Rice snoZ199 is reported to be homologous to Arabidopsis snoR13.
Source: Rfam by way of RNAcentral
AAAUCAGGUGAUGAGAAAAAAACUGCAACAAUAUGAUCGUUAAUUUUCUAUGAUUCAUUGUAUUUAAGUCUCUGAUGAUU